UGGUGGAGUGAUUUGUCUGCUUAAUUGCGUUAACGAACGAGACCUCAGCCUGCUAAAUAGUGAGGCGAACCUUUGGUUGGCGGAAACUUCUUAGAGGGACUAUCGCGUGUUUUAACCGAUGGAAGUUUGAGGCAAUAACA
Molecule: ribosomal RNA, 140 nt
Filed under: uncultured eukaryote
Lineage: Eukaryota
Description: partial 18S ribosomal RNA
Rfam family: Eukaryotic small subunit ribosomal RNA
Source: RNAcentral